GCCCAUGAUUUUAAGCACCACUGGCUGUUCACAGGCUCACACAGAAACUGUCUCCAAGCACAAUGCCCCUGGGAGAACUUCUUGGAAGUGCUGAUGCUGCCCUGUGUGAGACCAGCUAGGUCAACAUUUGCCUGGAAAAAGCUCUGGUUGUUUACAGCAGGCAUCUGGGCUGAUGAGUCAGGGCCUGUGGUUAGACAUUUUGAUUCUCACCCCUGAGACCAGCCCUUGGAAGCUCACACAGGAGCCGAGGCAGGGAACCUGGAGAGAAGAGGACAAACAGAGACUUCCCUCUGCUAAAUGAGAGUGAAUCCGCUGGCAAAGGUCUGACUCUGCGGAUUCCCUCCCACUCCACUCUGGGCGAUGGUCACUGUUGUUCUUGCCUCUCCUCUGAGUUCCGGUCUCAUUUAUCCAACAGACAUCUUGACAUCUCCACCUGGAUGUUUUGAAGGCAACUCAAGCCAGUGUGCCUGGGUCUGAACUCCUGACCUUCCUUCCCAAACCUGCUCCUCCUGCUGUGUUUGCCUUUGGAGUGACUGCCACUUCUAUCCAUUAUAAGUCAGAAAUCACCUCCUCCUCAAUCUCCUUCCCUGGCUUAAUCCAUUUCAAAUUCCUUGUGAUUGUCCUUCCUAAAUACCUGCCAAGGGCGGCCACCCCUCCAGUCACCUCUGACAACUGCAGUGGUACCCGACCCAGCUCCCUGUGCAGACCAGGGCACCGCCCACAUCCACGUUUCACGACAGGAGCCAGAGUGAGCUUUUCCAACUGCAGAUCUGAUUGAUUUCAUUCUAGUUUCACUGUCAGCAAUCAAUGCCAUAUGAAAAUAUUUCACAGAAAAAUCCAACCCCUCCCAUUAUAAAUUGCCAUGCAGGCUUCUUCUGGGUUGAUUUCUCAUCUAGUUAUAAGGGCCAAGCUGUCUUCUGGGUCUCUUUGGACUGAGUCUCUCAGGUUUGGGGUCUGACCUUGAGGGUGGGUGGGACAGAUGUCACUGAUGGUUGAUGCCUUAGUUUGGGUUGUCCCAGGUGCAGAUUCCGAGACAAGAAUUUGAGAGCAAGUAGUUUAUUUGAGAGGUGACCUCAGGAAGCUCUGGCAGGGCUUUAGGAAGCGCAACAGGAAAGGGAGGAGGCCAAUUCAGGGCGUAGUAUUCAGCCAGCUGGUGCAGAGGACAGCUGGAGUUCAGUCCCAUGGAGAAAUCACACACAAUAGAGGAAUCCCAGGAGCGAGGGACAGGCGGUAUUUAUACACCAACUCCUAUGAGUUAUUACUUGGGGGUUGUUGGAGGUGAGUGUUAAUCCCCUGGCACCUCCCACCUGCCACAGGUGUGGGUAGAGUGGACUGCUGAGGUCAUGGACAAAAGCCUGCAGGCAAAAAGAAGAAGAUAUUGGCAGUUAGAAGUGGCUCUGAGCCUGCUGGAGGGUUCCAGGGCUAUGUGGAGGGCACGAACAGCAUCUGCUCCCCUGGGGAUGAUGACAGGUGACACUGGGUGACUCAGAUCUUCUUGCCAUAACAUGGAGACACAUGGUUAGAAAGCCAGUCCAUUGUCUCAAGGAGAAGAGUCCCAGUUUGGUGCUAAUAAUCUUAACACCUUUCCAACACUGUUCAUCUCCAUCUGGAACCAAGAAAGAGCCAGCCUUGGGCCUAGUGUCUUUGGUAGGCCGUCGUAUGUACCUACCUGCAAUUGAUGAUGUUGCUUUGGUUUCUACUUAAUGUUUUCCAAUAAACUUAAGCAUAUAAAGUUUGCUGUUGAAAUAAAUUUAUAUAGUUAAA
This 1764-nucleotide long non-coding RNA is filed under the name Homo sapiens (human). RNAcentral's name for it is "HSALNT0268047". Lineage: Eukaryota; Metazoa; Chordata; Mammalia; Primates; Hominidae. The record is from RNAcentral.